This 253-nucleotide ribosomal RNA is filed under the name uncultured bacterium. RNAcentral's name for it is "partial 16S ribosomal RNA". It matches the Rfam family "Bacterial small subunit ribosomal RNA", at positions 524 to 776 of the family's 1533-position model. The record is from RNAcentral.
UACAGAGGUCCCAAGCGUUGUUCGGAUUCACUGGGCGUAAAGGGUGCGUAGGCGGUUGGGUAAGUCUGUCGUGAAAUCUCCGAGCCUAACUCGGAAACUGCGUCGGAUACUAUUCAACUCGAGGAAUGGAGGGGAGACUGGAAUUCUCGGUGUAGCAGUGAAAUGCGUAGAUAUCGAGAGGAACACCAGUGGCGAAGGCGAGUCUCUGGACAUUUCCUGACGCUGAGGCACGAAAGCCAGGUGAGCAAACGGG